GACGACCGCUGGCGGCGUGCUUAACACAUGCAAGUCGAACGGAAAGGCCCUGCUUUUGUGGGGUGCUCGAGUGGCGAACGGGUGAGUAACACGUGAGUAACCUGCCCUUGACUUUGGGAUAACUUCAGGAAACUGGGGCUAAUACCGGAUAGGAGCUCCUGCUGCAUGGUGGGGGUUGGAAAGUUUCGGCGGUUGGGGAUGGACUCGCGGCUUAUCAGCUUGUUGGUGGGGUAGUGGCUUACCAAGGCUUUGACGGGUAGCCGGCCUGAGAGGGUGACCGGCCACAUUGGGACUGAGAUACGGCCCAGACUCGUACGGGAGGCAGCAGUGGGGAAUAUUGCACAAUGGGCGGAAGCCUGAUGCAGCAACGCCGCGUGCGGGAUGACGGCCUUCGGGUUGUAAACCGCUUUCGCCUGUGACGAAGCGUGAGUGACGGUAAUGGGUAAAGAAGCACCGGCUAACUACGUG
RNAcentral lists this ribosomal RNA (468 nucleotides) under uncultured bacterium. RNAcentral describes it as "partial 16S ribosomal RNA". It matches the Rfam family "Bacterial small subunit ribosomal RNA", at positions 28 to 507 of the family's 1533-position model. The record is from RNAcentral.